Molecule: long non-coding RNA, 384 nt
Organism: Cryptotermes secundus
Lineage: Eukaryota; Metazoa; Arthropoda; Insecta; Blattodea; Kalotermitidae
Exons: 3
Source: RefSeq, a predicted model, not a curated record
CAGAGAGCAUGGUGAUCUCAUAAACCUGCUUUCAUUUUUUCAAAAUAAGGAAAGCAGGCUACAAAGAACAGUGAAAUUUCGAAAAUGAUGUGUAUAGUUUGAAUAGGAGAGUUUAUAAUUAAAUACUAUAAUCGAAUGUGGAACCAUGAGACCGUGAUUAUAGAAGAGGUACAUAUUGGAUGACUGUGAAUGAUGAACUGAGAAUUGUUCGGACGGGGACCACCGUGACCUGCAUCGCGGUACUGUCAGAAUUUGCCUGAGAGGACAGAGAUUGAAGUGUGGGACUUGCGGAAUACGAGUAAAGAGUGCAGCCGCAAGGGAGAAGAGCCAAAGUGGACCCAAAAUCAGGUGGUCUGAUAAUACAGAAAGACAUUGAAGUACUGA